GACGAACGCUGGCGGCGUGCUUAACACAUGCAAGUCGAACGGAAAGGCCCUGCUUGCAGGGUACUCGAGUGGCGAACGGGUGAGUAACACGUGGGUGAUCUGCCCUGCACUUCGGGAUAAGCCUGGGAAACUGGGUCUAAUACCGGAUAGGAGCCAUUUUUAGUGUGAUGGUUGGAAAGUUUUUUCGGUGUAGGAUGAGCUCGCGGCCUAUCAGCUUGUUGGUGGGGUAAUGGCCUACCAAGGCGGCGACGGGUAGCCGGCCUGAGAGGGUGGACGGCCACAUUGGGACUGAGAUACGGCCCAGACUCCUACGGGAGGCAGCAGUGGGGAAUAUUGCACAAUGGGCGCAAGCCUGAUGCAGCGACGCCGCGCGGGGGAUGACGGCCUUCGGGUUGUAAACUCCUUUCGCUAGGGACGAAGCUUUUUGUGACGGUACCUAGAUAAGAAGCACCGGCUAACUACGUG
This 465-nucleotide ribosomal RNA is filed under the name uncultured bacterium. Its description in RNAcentral is "partial 16S ribosomal RNA". It matches the Rfam family "Bacterial small subunit ribosomal RNA", at positions 28 to 507 of the family's 1533-position model. The record is from RNAcentral.